This 253-nucleotide ribosomal RNA is filed under the name uncultured bacterium. RNAcentral describes it as "partial 16S ribosomal RNA". It matches the Rfam family "Bacterial small subunit ribosomal RNA", at positions 524 to 776 of the family's 1533-position model. The record is from RNAcentral.
UACGGAGGGAGCUAACGUUGUUCGGAAUUACUGGGCGUAAAGCGCACGUAGGCGGCUUUGUAAGUUAGAGGUGAAAGCCCGGGGCUCAACUCCGGAACUGCCUUUAAGACUGCAUCGCUUGAAUCCAGGAGAGGUGAGUGGAAUUCCGAGUGUAGAGGUGAAAUUCGUAGAUAUUCGGAAGAACACCAGUGGCGAAGGCGGCUCACUGGACUGGUAUUGACGCUGAGGUGCGAAAGCGUGGGGAGCAAACAGG